CUGAAAGAGUUUUCGGACAAUGGAUGUAGAGGAAAGUGGCGGACGGGUGAGUAACGCGUGAGGAACCUGCCUUGAAGAGGGGGACAACAGUUGGAAACGACUGCUAAUACCGCAUGACGCAUAGAGGUCGCAUGAUCUUUAUGCCAAAGAUUUAUCGCUUCAAGAUGGCCUCGCGUCUGAUUAGCUAGUUGGCGGGGUAACGGCCCACCAAGGCGACGAUCAGUAGCCGGACUGAGAGGUUGAACGGCCACAUUGGGACUGAGAUACGGCCCAGACUCCUACGGGAGGCAGCAGUGGGGAAUAUUGGGCAAUGGGCGCAAGCCUGACCCAGCAACGCCGCGUGAAGGAAGAAGGCUUUCGGGUUGUAAACUUCUUUUAAGAGGGAAGAGCAGAAGACGGUACCUCUAGAAUAAGCCACGGCUAACUACGUGCCAGCAGCCGCGGUAAUACGUAGGUGGCAAGCGUUGUCCGGAUUUACUGGGUGUAAAGGGCGUGCAGCCGGGUCUGCAAGUCAGAUGUGAAAUCCAUGGGCUCAACCCAUGAACUGCAUUUGAAACUGUAGAUCUUGAGUGUCGGAGGGGCAAUCGGAAUUCCUAGUGUAGCGGUGAAAUGCGUAGAUAUUAGGAGGAACACCAGUGGCGAAGGCGGAUUGCUGGACGAUAACUGACGGUGAGGCGCGAAAGUGUGGGGAGCAAACAGGAUUAGAUACCCUGGUAGUCCACACUGUAAACGAUGAAUACUAGGUGUGCGGGGACUGACCCCCUGCGUGCCGCAGUAAACACAAUAAGUAUUCCACCUGGGGAG
RNAcentral lists this ribosomal RNA (804 nucleotides) under uncultured bacterium. RNAcentral describes it as "bacterial SSU rRNA". It matches the Rfam family "Bacterial small subunit ribosomal RNA", at positions 67 to 880 of the family's 1533-position model. The record is from RNAcentral.